Molecule: long non-coding RNA, 9617 nt
Filed under: Mytilus galloprovincialis (Mediterranean mussel)
Lineage: Eukaryota; Metazoa; Mollusca; Bivalvia; Mytilida; Mytilidae
Source: RNAcentral
GACAAAUACUGUGAACUAUUAACAAAAGUGUCUGUUUAUUUCCUUAAAGAUCUAAUUGUAAGUUUUUGUUUUUAAAUUUAUUUUUGAUAAAUAUUAAUUGAACUUUGGUUACUAUAGAUAUAAAUAAAAUAAAAUAAAUACUUUAUUUAAUCAAUGUUAGUAAUUAUUGACAACCGAAAUGUAAUUUUCUCAUGAGCAAUUUGGUUCACGUUCAAAAUAGAAUAUGAUUAAAUGAAGUCAAUAUGAAUAUCCUCCUCUGACAUGAACAUACUGAGGUUAAUACUUCUCAUCACUGGCAUAAGAAUAUGACAUGCAUUAACCAUGUUAACUGGAGUGAAGCCUUCGCAACACUGAUAAAGAAUUUUACAUGAACUGACUUUGGUUAAGACUGCUUAUCACUAAUAUAAGAAUCUGACAUGCAUUGACUAAAGUGAAGAUUUCUUAACACAUCUAUGAUAAUCUGACUUGUUUGUUUAUGUGGUUCAUACGUGUUUAUCGUUUCUCGUUUUAUAUAGAUUCGACCAUUGGUUUUCCCGCUUGAAUGGUUUUACACUAGUAAUUUUUGGGGGUUCUUUAUAGCUUGCUGUUCGGUGUGAGCCAAGGUUCCGUGUUUACUUUUAUAAAGUGUAAUUUGGAUGAAGAGUUGUUUUUUUGGCACUCAUACCACAUCUUUCUAUAUCUAUUAAAUCGACAAAAGUGGUGAAUUAUUAUUCCUGAUAUUAGUAUCUGACAUGAAAUGAUUGAAAUGAAGAAUUAUUCCUUGUAUAUGUGUCAUUAAUGGAUAGACGGAGAUUAAGAAUUCAUUACGUUCAUAUACGUAUCUGAUAUAAAUUAACUAAAGACGCUAACAUAUCUAGUAUGUAUGAAUAGGCAGAAAAGUACGAUUCUUAUUAGUUCGACAUUUGGUGAAACAUAAAUGACUAAAGUGUUUACAUAUGUAUAGGAAGGUAUACACUUGUUGAGUUAUGUUGAUCAUGUUGAUUGUUAACAAGCAUCCGAAAUGGUUUUACUUGGAUUUUUCUCGAUUUCGCUAAUUAGAUCUUUUUCCUUAGUAGUUCUUUUAUCCUUUUUUUUUAUCAAUUGCAGGCAAAUCAAGGAGAACAUGUACAACAUUAUUUUCAUUGUUGUAUUUACUGUCUUAACAAGUACUGUUAAUGGCUGUCCAACAGUAUGCAUAUGCUUUGAUAGCAAGAUUGUCUAUUGCAGAAGUAGAUAUAUAAUGGCAGUCCCAUCUGACAUUCCAUUGUCAACAGUCGGGUUGUGAGUAUUACAAUUAAAGAUGUUCUUCCACUUAAACAAAACAGAUGCUACGUAUGUAAGUGUUUACAAUUUCUAUAACAAGACUAAACUUCAGGUAGCUUUCUUCAGUUGAUGUGGACUAACUCGAAAUACUCGUCAAAUUAUAACGCUGCUUUUGCUUUUAAGUAGCCCCACACUAUUCAAGUGAAGUUUUGGACAUUAUGAAAUCAUAUUUUCGGACGGAAUGUGAAAACAAUCAUGCAAACACCGGACCACUGAGUAUUCAUUUAUCUGCCGGUAAUAUAUCUAUACUGACUUAUAAAAAUACCGGGUAAUUGUUUUCUAGGAUAUAAAUAGUUAUUUAGCAGCCUUUUUUAUUCAAAUGAAAUAAAGACAAAUGUUUUUUUUACAUCAUAUUUUGAUUGAAAUGUACUUUUUGCACAUUAGAUUAAGCAUUAUGUACAUUGUAUUUGUCACAGCCCUGUUUUUGAAAUGUUGGGUCCUCAAUGCACUUCAACUUUAAACUUGUUUGGCCUUUUUGAUAUGAGCGUCACUGACGAGUCUUAUGUAGACAAAAAGGCGCGUCGGCGUAUGCAUAUAUAAGCCUGUUUACACCACUGGGUCGAUGCCACUGCUGGUGGACGUUUCGACCCCUAGGGCAUCACCAGUAGUGUAGUCAGCUCUCGGUGUUGACACGAAUAUCAAUAGCAUGGUCAAUUUUAUAAAUUUGCUGUUUGCAAAAGUUUGAAUAAUUAAAAAAACUAAGGAUUUUCUUAUCAUAGGCAAAGAUAAUUUUAACCGUAUUUGGCACACAUUUUUAGGGCAAUUUUGGGUCUUCAAUGCUCUUCAACUUUAUACUUGUUUGGCUUUUUAAAUAUUUUGAUCUGAGCGUCCCUGAUGAGUCUUAUGUAGACGAAACGCGCGUUGACGUAUCAAAUUAUAAGCCUGGCAACUAUUUACCGUCAAUGUAAAACCUAAAUUAUAGCAAAAAACGAAAAACGAAAAAUGUAUAUUGAAAUUUGGUACUUCUUUCGUGAACAUAACUGAUUUCACGUGCCCAUAAAAGUAAUACAGUAAAGUAAGAAUUAGGAUAUCAAAUAUAACUGUGCCCUGAAAUAAUGAAAGAUAUUCUUUUUGUCAUAAUUUUAAGAGUUUUUUUAUUACCUGUUGAACAGACCAAUAAAACGUGCAAGUAGUGCAAGUAUGUUCGUAAACAGAUAUAUUGUUGUUAUGAUUUUCUUAUUUUGUGCAAUUUGAUGCAGUUGAUACAGUGGUUUAGAAAUUAUUUUUAAUUUUUAUGAAUUCAAAUAAAAUUGAGAAUGGAACAUGGGGAAUGUGCAAAGAGACAACAACCCGACCAUAGAAAAAACAAUAGCAGAAGGUCACCAACAGGUCUUCAAUGUAGCGAGAAAUUCCCGCACCCGGAGGCGUCCUUCAGCUGGCCCCUAAACAAAGAUAUACUAGUUCAGAGAUAAUGAACGCCAUACUAAUUUCCAAAUUGUACACAAAGAAACUAAAAUUAAAAUAAUUCAAGACUAACAAAGGCCAGAGGCUCCUGACUUGGGACAGGCGCAAAAAUACAGCGGGGUUAAACAUGUUUGUGAGAUCUCAACCCUCCCCUAUACCUCUAGCCAAUGUAGAAAAGUAAACGUAUAACAAUACGUACAUUAAAAUUCAGUUUAAGAGAAGUCCGAGUCUGAUGUCAGAAGAUGUAACCAAAGAAAAUAAACAUAAUGACAAUAAUACAUAAAUAACAACAGACUACUAGCAGUUAACUGACACGCCAGCUCCAGACUUCAAUUAAACUGACUGAAAGAUUAUGAUUUCAUCAUAUGAACAUCAGGCACAAUCCUUCCCUUUAGGGGUCUAGUAUCAUACCAUCAUAACAUAUAUGAAAAGAACAUAACCCGUGUCAUGCCAACAACUGGUUUUUGAAUAAAUGUGUUUAGUUCCGAUGCAAAGACCCUAUAAGUGAAUCAAUAUUAACGCCAAAUAUGCAAUCUUUAAUGACCUGACAACAGUAUCGUAACUAUAUCCCUUCUUAAUAAGUCUAUUCAAAGGUUUUGUUAGUUUUUGAGGUGAAUACUGACACCUUUGUGCUUUAUAAAGAAUAUUUCAAUAAAAAGUUGGAUGUGAAAUACCUGAACGUAUAAAGAAGUCUGCAUUUUGAGCUAUAUUUACGAAUGAUGUCCUUAUACCGAUGAUAAAUUUAGUAAAUGUUUUGACUAGUUUGUGAUAUCGAAAACCCUGGUGUAAUAAUUUUUCAGUAAUACAUAAAUUUCUCUCGUUAAAAUCUAAAACAUUGUUUUAUGUACGAGCGAAUCGUACAAGUUGAGAUAUAUAAACACUGUAAGAUGGUGACAAUGGAACGUCACCAUCUAAAAAUGGAUAAUUAACUAUAGGAAAUGAAAAAAUCAUCUCUUUUAUCAUAAAUUUUAGUAUUCAGCUUUCCGUUAGUGAUAUAGAUGAAUAUCUUUAUUCCAGAUUUUAACAAGAGGAAAUUGAUGAUUACAAAAUAGAAAAAUUAUCAUGCAAAAACUAAAAAAAAUAGCUACUAAUACGCAAUAGACUGAACAAGCAUCAUACAAUGAUAUUAAACAUGUUUUGGUCCUACUUCAAUUUCUUAUAAAUCAUAUUGUUAAUCAUCUCGUCGAAGUUAAUUGUUCAGAUCUCAAACUAGAUUAUCGUUUAUGGGACGUGUUCAUUGUGCCUUUUCAAAGUUUAGAACUCCCAUGGUCUGUGUUUUAUCAUAGUAUGUUAAUAAGGUUAUUCCAAUUUUCCGUGGAAAUACCAUAUUUGUUUUUGUUCUGAUUAUUAUUUUUUUUCUGAUGUUUCUUACACAGUAUUGUUGUUUGACAAUGUGUCGCUUAAAAAAUUUUGAAUAUAGUAUCGAAUAUAUUUUACGCCUUUUAACUGACAAAGCUUAACCACACAUUUUCCUUUGUAAAAGUUAUUCUACCAAACUCUGUUUUUCUUGUGUCACUACUAUUUCUCAAUCGUAAAAGAUAAUGACAAAUCUAUUUUACCAAAUCACUCUAUAUAUCUUCAGUUCUAAGAUGAUCAAUCAGACCUUAGAUAUUGAAAGACUCCAUUUGAAAGUUAUUUUCCCUGAUGCAUUUGAAAUAUACAAGAUGUAUUUGUAACUGGUAAAUCAUAACUGAAAGAGACCUAGGUCAAGGUAUAAAUGUUCAUUUUUGAUGAUUUUUAUCUCCUUUCAAAAACAGUAUAACACAUCAAAAACAUUAUUUUUUUAUGAAAUAUAAGUUGUAACAUGUCGUUACACAUAAAUUUGGUUGAAAGGGUAUUUUGACAUCAAAGAAAAAUUAUACGUAUGAUGAUAUAACUCGUUACCCAUGUAUAUAUCACUAGGACUUUUUCUUUUAGGUCCUAAAUUUAUGAUCUUAAAAUUAAGUUCGACGUCACAGGUAGUUUGGCGUUUUAGAUUUUGAUCUUUAAAUUUACUUCCUAUUUAUACACCAUAAAGCAAUAAGACUGUAUACUUUAGGUUGCAAACCAUUUGCCCUUGCAAUAGGGGUGUUGCUAAUUUACGGAAAAAGAAAUCGCACUUCGUACCCCUAAACUUUAACCACAUGUGAAAAUGUCUCAGCUUUGAAACGAGCCAUCAUACAUAUCCAAGUUAACGAUAUGGACCGAGCAACGGACGAAAACGAUAUCCAUUGCCGCCAAUGUAGAAACAAUUGCGCAUAUUGACCCAAUUUGAUCAUGUAUAGUUUAAAAUUUCAUCUUCGAAAAUCAUAUACAAUCUCUGUAAUGUUUUCCUCAAUUUUUAAAGAUAAAAGGUGCCAAUGUUCAGUGUAUGAAAACUCGAGAGAAUUAUUUCUCGCCUUAUCUUAUAUUCCCGAAGACAUGCACACGAACCCUAUAUUUGUUCUGCUUUUUAGAUGUUUUAUCUCCAUACUAUAAAUUUUAUAAGACUCUUAUAAAAACUUGGUAUUUUGAAACAGAACAACUUUCAUCCUUAAUGUAAAAAAAAACAUCCAUAUACUGUUGGAAUCAGUGUCAAGUAAAUUUUCAAAUAAUACCGAAAUUUUUAAACCAGAAGUAACAAAUCUUGUGAUCAAUUUUAUUUAACAAUCGCCAAUGGCAGUCAGCAGGGUUAAAUAACAUCAGUUGUUCGACCUGUUAGUCAAAUGCGUUUUGUUUAAAUAUACUUUUUCACUUUUUUGGUCUUUUCAUUCCAUUAAAAAUAUCUGUGAACAACCAAGCUGCCCUAAACUAUGUUUACUAAAAUAAAAGUUUUUGUGUACAAAUUCCUCGUUUAUAAUGCAAAACAAAUGGUCUUAGGAAAAGAAGUUUUUUUUUAGAUUUUAAAGCUCACCUUGGAUACGUUAAAUUAUAUCAAAUAAGCCAUACUUAGAUAAUGCGUUUUCUUUGUUUACAUGUGUCAGUAUGUGUUGAAUAGUUCCAUCUGUUUGAAAACAAUAGGCCACAGUUCUAUAGUAAAAUUGAUAACAUUAAAAGGGACUGUGUCAAAGAUACAACAAAUAGACCAAAUGGCAAAUAAAGGCCAAGGACCAUCAAUGGGUCUUCAAUUGGUCGUGGCUAAUUUUAGUCAUAAAAUACAGAACCAAUUACGCAAUAAGGGGUGCACAGUUAAUUGAUACAAAUCAGAAUUAAAAAACUCAAUGGGUCUAUCAAUACCGAUGCUACAUCAAUCUUUAAAGACCUAAAUGUUACAAAACACUUAUCCUACCUCCAUGACAAAUAUGUUGAUAUCCCCGCAGAUAAAGUCCCAAAUAACAUCGUUUUUGUGUGUAAAACUCAUUACAUUAACUGCUUGAUAAAACGAAUUAGGUAUUGACAAUUCACUAGGAAACUCAACAAAUACCCUCACGACCGGUGUACCAAAGAGGAAAUCCUAGAUAAUCAUAGGUCUGUUCUAUGUUCCUUUGGCAUUUCAACCAAAGAUGAGAACUAGUAUUAGAUACUUUAAACCUAAACAAAUAAGUUUCCUUACAAACAACGGUAUAAUGCUGGGUAUUCCAAGUGCUCCACGAAACCUCUUUCUAAAUUAUUAACAUCUAUUUUAUCAGCAAUCAAAGACGGGUUCAAAGUUAUUGUGACACUGCCUAUUGUAGAGGUGGAGUGAAUCAGAUGUGGAUACUAAAAAAUUCCAAAGAUCUUUUAGAGUACAUACAAUCUAACUGUCUUUCAUCUUGCAAUAGUAUUAAAACUUUUGACUUUUCUACACUUUACACAAAUAUUCCACAUUCCAAACUAAAAGACAAAUUGAAAGAGUUGGUAUUUCUUUGUUUCAUUAAGAAUAAUAGCCAACGUAGAUACAAGUAUCUUGUCUUAGGGAGGGAUAAAUUAUACUUUGUAAAGGAUAACUCUGAUUCAAACAAAAAAUUCUCUGAAACUGACAUUAUCAAGAUUUCUUUAGUUUCCCAUGUUUGGUCUUGUGCACUAUUAUUUUUCAUUUUUUUUUGCCAAGCAUUGUCAGCAGGUCAGUUUAAUUUUGAAUUUGACUGUCCCUCAGGUAUCAUUCGCCCCUCUUUUGGAAAGUUGGUGAAUUGGUGUUUUCUUACUGCAAAACCUUGAAGUAAAACUUACGUCAAACAAUAAUGGUAUUAUUGGCAGCCUUAUUUAUUGACAAAGACAAAUUCCAUGGCGAAUUAUUUAUGCUCAUGUUUGAUACGAGAAAUAAGAAUAUUAUAAUUGUUAUAAGAGUAAAAUGUUCUUUAAAUGAUAAUACGAAUAUUAACUUUGUUCAUUACUGAAUUAACACAAGAAUCUAAGAAUUCUUUGUCAGUAACUGUUUAGUUUUAUCCAUGUAAUUUAAUUGAUUUAAGCCUUUCCGAUUGGUAUUUUAUAGUGUGUUUUUCUAUGUUGUGAUGUUACACCAUUGUUUCAGAUAAAACUCAAGAUUUGGUACCAUUAAAACGUUUAAACCCGAUUUAGUUAUUCACACCUGUCGUAAGUCAGAAAUCUGAUGUUAUGUAGUUGUCGUUUGUUGAUGUGGUUGAUAAGUGUUUCUCGUUUUUCUUUUUUUUAUAUAGAUUAAACCGUUGGUUUUCCCGUUUGAAUGGUUUAACACUAGUAAUAUUUAGAGCCCUUUAUAGCUUGCUGUUAGGUGUGAGCCGAGACUCCGUGUUGAAGGCCGUACCUUGACCUAUAAUGGUUUUUCUUUUAUAAAUUGUGACUUGGAUGGAGUGUUGUCUCAUUGGCACUCAUACCACAUCUUCCCAAAUACAGAGUGAGUCGACCCCCAUUCCAAUAAGUAAUUGAAGAGGGAUGAUAGGUGGGUCCUUAAUAGAGGUAUAAUUUCAACUGUCGGUCAUAAACGAGGUUUAGGUGUCCUGAUAUAACAUUGGAACUAGGGCCGUAAAUGUAUAAGAAACUCCUGCAGUCUCAUGACGUAGGUGAUUUGUCACUGACAUUAACUUGGUAACCCCCUACUCCAUCACUGUUAUUGUAUAGAUGUCGAGUGGAUAUUAUACGUAUCCUGUGCUAUUUUGAAAGGGUUUAUGUCAGCAGAAUUCUUGCAGGAUCUUAUUGUUAAUGUCUAGAAAAAUCUAAAUGUAAGAAUUCAUUUGCCCCUAUCUAUUAAUAUUAUCUAUUAACAUUAUUUACAUAGAUUAAUACAACGGUAGAACUGUCCUUCCAUACAUAUUUACUAUUUAUCAAUAUAAUAUCAUCUGUGAGUAUAAAACUAUGUAAUAUCUAACCAGUUUUUACUAUAUUCAUUCAGGUCGACCAUUAUUUUUUCUUAUAUCUUUCUUGUAUUUAAGAAUACAACAAAUGAUGCCAAAAUACAUUCAAAUGUUUUUUUGCAGAAACCUUUUUUUCUAAUCAAAUUACCACGGUGCAAGGGUGUCUUCAACCUAUGCAUACAAACAAAAUACAAUAGGUGUUGUUAUAGCAAUUAUUAAUUAAUAAAAGGCAAAAUACAGUCAGUAAAUUAAAGCAUUAAAAUAUUACUCUUUGAAAAUUUAGAAACAAAAGUAAAGUAUAAUUUGCAAAAUUGUGUUGUAGUAAAAAUGAAAUAAUUCUCUGAACAAAUGGUUUAUCAUUGUAAAAUUGUGUGUUUGAAUCCCAUAUUAACGAAGGGUAUCCGAAAAGCAAUGUGUUACCACCUCGAUGUUUUUAGGUCCUUAACUGUUUCAUUUAAUAGUCUUAUUAACGCCAAUUACUUUAAACCGUUACUAAAUUCAGUCAAUGAUACAAAUACUUGGUUUGCAAGUUUUGAUGUAGUUGUAGAAAAUUUAGUACAAACGGAAUAGCACCUCCAAAUUUUACUCUGCUGAUAACUUUAAGCGGACCUGGAAAUAUUGAUACGAUCCAAUUUAUCAAUCAUAUUAAUGAGCUAAUUCUUAAAGGUUACCUAUUCAACACUGUUAUUAGAUAUUUGCUGUUAUUCAUCCUUGGCUUUCAAAUUUUCGACUUUGAGCUUCCGAGAUGAAGGUAAAUCCAGAAAAGCGCUUCGGACACAUGCAAUUGUUGAACGUGUUGUUUUAAUUUAUUUUUAAUAUUGUUUUUAUACAUAUUCAUUUGAUUAUCAGUAAGUUAGAUUCAUAUAAAAUACAUUUUUGUAAUAUUCAUAUGCGCAUUCACUGUACUAUAAUACAUGUAUUUUAGCUUGCACAAGGUGAUAUUUUUUUCUGAUAACCAUCAUGUUGAUGACUUCUUCACUCUAUCUUAAUUGGAUUUCAAAUGUGCACAAAUUGAUAUCUAUGUCCUAGAUGCAUGUUUUAAUGAUUGCCUUUAGUAACUGCGGUCACGCUCAGAACUGUAUUGUGUAUCUUUUUAAUAUUUAAAGGUGUCAAGAUACACUGUCCCAGCUGGUCUGUGAUUAAAUAUAAUUGCAUCAGUUUUAUUUUGCAGGUACCUGGAAAACAAUCAGAUAACCAAUUUGGAUAAAAACGUGUUUCGGAAGUUAACAGCUCUCGAAAGCUUGUAAGUUAUUUAAUUCUGAAAAAAAUAUAAAUUAACUGGAGCAGGGAAUACGUCAUUCUAAUCGAACUAAGACAAAUGUAUACUUGAGAGAAAUAACAUGAUUGACAAUAUCGUUCCUUAAUUAGGAAUUAAUAUUUUCAUUAAAACAAAACAAUGUUAGUCUUGUAUGUUUUUUUUUUAUUUUAGUUCAUUCAUAUGUUUUGGGGUUAAGUAUGACGUCCAUAUCACUUAACAAGUACAUAUCUUUAUCUAAUGGCCAGCUGAGGAUCACCUAGAGGAGAGGUAUUUUCUCGCUGCGGUGAAGACCAUUGGGGACCUGCGGCUGUUAUCGGCUCAUUGUUAGGGUUGUUGUCUCUUUGACAUUUUCCCAUUCCAUUUUUUAGAACUCGUAAUCAAGGACGUAAAUAUUUCUAUAGUUGAAUUGAUAAGAUAUAUUAACGUGCAAUUAAUUUAGUCCACCC